GCUAGUGUGUCAUAGUGGUUUGAGUGUUGGACUACGACUCUGGAGACCAGGGUUUGAUUCCCUGCUCAGCC
Non-coding RNA from Phrynosoma platyrhinos (Desert horned lizard), 71 nucleotides. Lineage: Eukaryota; Metazoa; Chordata; Lepidosauria; Squamata; Phrynosomatidae. The record is from the annotation of a GenBank genome assembly.